CCCUUAGAUGUUCUGGGCUGCACGCGCGCUACACUGACAUGUCCAGCGAGCUCCCAACCUGCUCGGCAAAGAAUGGGUACCCUUUUUAACGCAUGUCGUGAUGGGGAUAGAUUAUUGCAAUUGUUGAUCUUGAACGAGGAAUUCCUAGUAAGUGCAAGUCAUUAGCUUGUGCUGAAUACGUCCCUGCCCUUUGUACACACCGCCCGUCGCUCCUACCGAUUGAACGGUUUAGUGAGGGCCUCGGAUUGGUCUCGGCCCGCUCUUUACCGGGCGGCGCCGUUGGUCGAGAAGACGCUCGAACUUGAUCGUUUAGAGGAAGUAAAAGUCGUAACA
RNAcentral lists this ribosomal RNA (333 nucleotides) under uncultured eukaryote. RNAcentral's name for it is "partial 18S ribosomal RNA". It matches the Rfam family "Eukaryotic small subunit ribosomal RNA", at positions 1470 to 1796 of the family's 1831-position model. The record is from RNAcentral.